This 497-nucleotide ribosomal RNA is filed under the name uncultured bacterium. RNAcentral describes it as "partial 16S ribosomal RNA". It matches the Rfam family "Bacterial small subunit ribosomal RNA", at positions 28 to 507 of the family's 1533-position model. The record is from RNAcentral.
GAUGAACGCUGGCGGCGUGCCUAAUACAUGCAAGUCGAGCGAACGGACGAGAAGCUUGCUUCUCUGAUGUUAGCGGCGGACGGGUGAGUAACACGUGGAUCACAUACCUAUAAGACUGGGAUAAUUUCGGGAAACCGGAGCUAAUACUGGAUAAUAUUUUGAACCGCAUGGUUCAAAAGUGAAAGACGGUUUUGCUGUCACUUAUAGAUGGAUCCGCGCUGCAUUAGCUAGUUGGUAAGGUAACGGCUUACCAAGGCAACGAUGCAUAGCCGACCUGAGAGGGUGAUCGGCCACACUGGAACUGAGACACGGUCCAGACUCCUACGGGAGGCAGCAGUAGGGAAUCUUCCGCAAUGGGCGAAAGCCUGACGGAGCAACGCCGCGUGAGUGAUGAAGGUCUUCGGAUCGUAAAACUCUGUUAUUAGGGAAGAACAUAUGUGUAAGUAACUGUGCACAUCUUGACGGUACCUAAUCAGAAAGCCACGGCUAACUACGUG